GAUGAACGCUGGCGGCGUGCCUAAUACAUGCAAGUCGAGCGAACAGACGAGGAGCUUGCUCCUCUGACGUUAGCGGCGGACGGGUGAGUAACACGUGGAUAACCUACCUAUAAGACUGGGAUAACUUCGGGAAACCGGAGCUACUACCGGAUAAUAUAUUGAACCGCAUGGUUCAAUAGUUAAAGACGGUUUUGCUGUCACUUAUAGAUGGAUCCGCGCCGCAUUAGCUAGUUGGUAAGGUAACGGCUUACCAAGGCAACGAUGCGUAGCCGACCUGAGAGGGUGAUCGGCCACACUGGAACUGAGACACGGUCCAGACUCCUACGGGAGGCAGCAGUAGGGAAUCUUGCGCAAUGGGCGAAAGCCUGACGGAGCAACGCCGCGUGAGUGAUGAAGGUCUUCGGAUCGUAAAACUCUGUUAUUAGGGAAGAACAAAUGUGUAAGUAACUAUGCACGUCUUGACGGUACCUAAUCAGAAAGCCACGGCUAACUACGUG
RNAcentral lists this ribosomal RNA (497 nucleotides) under uncultured bacterium. RNAcentral describes it as "partial 16S ribosomal RNA". It matches the Rfam family "Bacterial small subunit ribosomal RNA", at positions 28 to 507 of the family's 1533-position model. The record is from RNAcentral.